UACGAAGGGGGCUAGCGUUGCUCGGAAUCACUGGGCGUAAAGGGUGUGUAGGCGGGUCUUUAAGUCAGGGGUGAAAUCCUGGAGCUCAACUCCAGAACUGCCUUUGAUACUGAAGAUCUUGAGUUCGGGAGAGGUGAGUGGAACUGCGAGUGUAGAGGUGAAAUUCGUAGAUAUUCGCAAGAACACCAGUGGCGAAGGCGGCUCACUGGCCCGAUACUGACGCUGAGGCACGAAAGCGUGGGGAGCGAACAGG
Molecule: ribosomal RNA, 253 nt
Filed under: uncultured bacterium
Lineage: Bacteria
Description: partial 16S ribosomal RNA
Rfam family: Bacterial small subunit ribosomal RNA
Source: RNAcentral